Molecule: ribosomal RNA, 79 nt
Filed under: Symbiodinium sp. Sakura5a
Lineage: Eukaryota; Dinophyceae; Suessiales; Symbiodiniaceae
Description: partial 28S ribosomal RNA
Source: RNAcentral
GCAGGUGCAUGCCUCUAGCAUGAAGUCAGACAAGUGAACCCGCUGAAUUUAAGCAUAUCAAUAAGCGGAGGAAAGGGCG